GAUGAACGCUGGCGGCGUGCCUAAUACAUGCAAGUCGAGCGAACAGAUAAGGAGCUUGCUCCUUUGACGUUAGCGGCGGACGGGUGAGUUACACGUGGAUAACCUACCUAUAAGACUGGGAUAACUUCGGGAAACCGGAGCUAAUACCGGAUAACAUAUUGAACCGCAUGGUUCAAUAGUGAAAGGCGGCUUUGCUGUCACUUAUCGAUGGAUCCGCGCCGUAUUAGCUAGUUGGUAAGGUAACGGCUUACCAAGGCAACGAUACGUAGCCGACCUGAGAGGGUGAUCGGCCACACUGGAACUGAGACACGGUCCAGACUCCUACGGGAGGCAGCAGUAGGGAAUCUUCCGCAAUGGGCGAAAGCCUGACGGAGCAACGCCGCGUGAGUGAUGAAGGUCUUCGGAUCGUAAAACUCUGUUAUCAGGGAAGAACAAAUGUGUAAGUAACUGUGCACAUCUUGACGGUACCUGAUCAGAAAGCCACGGCUAACUACGUG
Molecule: ribosomal RNA, 497 nt
Filed under: uncultured bacterium
Lineage: Bacteria
Description: partial 16S ribosomal RNA
Rfam family: Bacterial small subunit ribosomal RNA
Source: RNAcentral